UGGGAGAUAUUGCGCAAUGGGCGAAAGCCUGACGCAGCGACGCCGCGUGAGGGAUGAAGGUCUUCGGAUCGUAAACCUCUGUCAGGAGGGAAGAAGUGGUUGUAUGCGAAUAGUGUAUGACUUUGACGGUACCUCCAAAGGAAGCACCGGCUAACUCCGUGCCAGCAGCCGCGGUAAUACGGAGGGUGCGAGCGUUAAUCGGAAUCACUGGGCGUAAAGCGCACGUAGGCGGCUUUUCAAGUCAGGGGUGAAAUCCCACGGCUCAACCGUGGAACUGCCUUUGAAACUGGUAGACUUGAGUGUGUGAGAGGAUAGUGGAAUUUCCAGGUGUAGGAGUGAAAUCCGUAGAUAUCUGGAGGAACAUCAGUGGCGAAGGCGACUAUCUGGCACAUAACUGACACUGAGGAGCGAAGCGUGGGUAGCAAACAGGAUUAGAUACCC
RNAcentral lists this ribosomal RNA (441 nucleotides) under uncultured bacterium. RNAcentral describes it as "bacterial SSU rRNA". It matches the Rfam family "Bacterial small subunit ribosomal RNA", at positions 355 to 787 of the family's 1533-position model. The record is from RNAcentral.